AAAGGAAUUGACGGGGACCCGCACAAGCAGCGGAGCAUGUGGUUUAAUUCGAAGCAACGCGAAGAACCUUACCAGGGCUUGACAUCCCUCUGACCGGCCGGUAACGCGGCCUUCCCUUCGGGGCGGAGGAGACAGGUGGUGCAUGGUUGUCGUCAGCUCGUGUCGUGAGAUGUUGGGUUAAGUCCCGCAACGAGCGCAACCCUUGUCAUUAGUUGCCAUCAGGUUAAGCUGGGCACUCUAGUGAGACUGCCGGGGAUAACUCGGAGGAAGGUGGGGAUGACGUCAAAUCAUCAUGCCCCUUAUGUUCUGGGCUACACACGUGCUACAAUGGCCGGUACAAAGAGAAGCGAACUCGCGAGGGUGAGCAAAACUCAAAAACCGGUCCCAGUUCGGAUUGCAGGCUGAAACCCGCCUGCAUGAAGCAGGAGUUGCUAGUAAUCGCAAAUCAGAAUGUUGCGGUGAAUGCGUUCCCGGGUCUUGUACACACCGCCCGU
RNAcentral lists this ribosomal RNA (494 nucleotides) under uncultured bacterium. RNAcentral describes it as "bacterial SSU rRNA". It matches the Rfam family "Bacterial small subunit ribosomal RNA", at positions 903 to 1397 of the family's 1533-position model. The record is from RNAcentral.